This is a non-coding RNA of Pelobates cultripes (western spadefoot toad), 225 nucleotides long. Lineage: Eukaryota; Metazoa; Chordata; Amphibia; Anura; Pelobatidae. The record is from the annotation of a GenBank genome assembly.
GGGAAAUCGAGGUGAAGAAAUAAGGAAAGUCCCGCAGACGUGAUUAGCACGUCUGAAUAUACCUCCUUUCGUUUCUCUGCCGCAGGCCUCCCAUGGAUAUUCCAUAAGGUAGAUCACGAUAUGAUCUAAAGAGAGGAAUUGUAGGAUAUGAAUAUCCAUUUUGCUCUAUAUCCUAACUGUUCAUGUAAGGGUUAAUUUGAAUCAAGAAUAAAUUUGGAAUUGUAU